AUAAUUUGUACUCCUUACAUAUUUUAUAUUAGUGAAUUCUCCUCAUCUCCCCAUGAUUUUUCUCUAGUUGGGUUUCUGCGGAAAUCUUGUGUUUUCGGUUUUUAUUAUUCUUGUUCAAGUUUAACAGCGUCUUUCCAUCUCCACAGUUUAGGGCCGACGAAGACUUUGCCAGCUUCCCUAAUCUGAAUCAAAAUGCGGCGGAAGUGGUCAACAAAUAGUGGAGGGUGCUGCUGAUGUUGGCGGAAAUGCUCCUGCAGUUGCAGAGGGUGAAGAUGUUUCAUCCGCCAUUCAAUAUAAAGUUACGGACUAGAAUUUCACCUCUCCCAUACCCUGACGAAGAAAGAGAAGUUUAGAAUGUUAUGUUGUUAUUUUAAAAAUAAUAAUACUAAUAAUAUAGAAUAAAAUAAAAAUAAUCUUGCACCAAAAACUCUUCUGUUGUAUUAGGUGGCCUUGCUAUUUGAUCAAUGAGUUAUUUGAAAGGAUUUUAUUAGUCAUCAAUUAUUCUGUCUAUUCACUGUAACAUAAAAAGUACAUAUGAGUCACUAGCACGUGCGAUGCUUGUGUACUUUUUUAUUCUUGUUUAAGUUUUAACAGUGCCUUUAGGGCCGAGGAAGACUUCGUUGACGACCGUAAUCUGAAUCAAAAUGCUGCUUUUCCAAGUGUCAACAAAUGAUUGAGGGUGCUGCCGAUGGUGGAGGAAAUUCUCAUGCACGUGCUAAGGGUGAAGAUGGUUCAACCGUCAUUCAAUAUAAAAUUACGGACUUGAACUGUUAACCUCACCCAAACCCUGAUGAGGAAUGAGAAGUUUAGGAUGUUAGUGUAAGAAACUUAUUUUGUUGAUGUAUUAAGGAUUAAGCAGUA
Molecule: long non-coding RNA, 861 nt
Filed under: Olea europaea subsp. europaea
Lineage: Eukaryota; Viridiplantae; Streptophyta; Magnoliopsida; Lamiales; Oleaceae
Source: RNAcentral